CUACAUUGCUGUAAGUAGUAGACAAAAAUAUUUAUGAUGUGUAGGAGAAUUUUGAGACUCCCCAUGAGUGUGAUGACGUCACAUGUUAAAGUUAAGGUAUUCCCAUCAAUGUUGAUCAGACUGUUUCCUCCAAACUCUCGAUGCUGCAUGAUAAAAAUAUAUCACAUGUAUAACUAUGCACUCAUAUAAUCAAUACGUAAUCCAAUAAACCUAUAUCAGUAGUUGCAGCUAAGCUUAUGGAAACGCAAGAAACCACAGUGUACACUGUAGAACAAAAAGGCAAACGCAGAAGGCUUAAAAAAACCAUACUUACUCAGCAGAAAAUUAGUGCCAAAUAGACAUGCUAGAAAACUAAUACUUUACACUUGACCCCUGUGUAACCUGAAUAAAGUAAAAAAAAAAAGUACAGGAGGCUAUAACUCUGUGAACUUGUAUGUGUAAUGGAAAAAUACAGAAAGCAAUGUCGUGGUGUAUGCAUAGUGGGGAAAGAACAUCAUAGAGCCGAAAAUAAUUUUUUUGGGGCACCUGUCCACUAUGAUAAGAUUAAGUUCUGUCAGGACCACUGUCAUCAAAGUAGAACUUUAUUGACAAUAAAGGCAAUACAGUUAUGUUUGGCGGUAUGGCUCUGUUCUGGAGCUCUCCCGCCAACCACGCAGCCCGCGUGGAUAAGGCCGGGAGGCCAGCAGCCAAACCCCCCUAGAGGGGUACACACAGAACAGAUCCAGCAGCAAAGCAAGUUCUUAACACAUAGGGGUGGAGCAAUGCAAUUUCUUAACACAUAGGAAUGGAUAAAUGCAAAUUCUUGACGCAUGGGGAUGGAGCUGGGGUGGUGGAGGGGAUUUACGAAGCAACGUGCAGCGCUUGCAUGCAGGAGGAGCAGCCGAAUGAGUAGAGGGAGGCUGUUAAAUAGACCGCCCUGUUAGUGAAUGUACUGUGAUAGGCGAACAUCACUCAGCUGAGCCAUCAGCUGAUUCAGCCGGAGCGCUUGACUCUCGUGGCCUGCCAGAACUACGCGAUGCUCCAUUAUUGAUACAUUAAGAACAUCAUAAGGACCGAAAAUCAUUUUGGUGCCAAGAAAGUCAAGUUGACCCAUGAACAGGAAACUGAAACUCCUUACUGUGCCAAAAAGACCAGAUGGCUGGGAUUUUCAGGAAUGUGUUAAAGGGGGGUUGUGGGCACAAUUUGUGUAUAAAAUGUGUGCAAAACUGACAAUCGGGGUUCAAUUCUGCUGAAUUGAUCCGGCUAUGUGCACCUGUGCAAUAAAGUCUAAACUUUCUGAA
Long non-coding RNA from Anguilla rostrata (American eel), 1280 nucleotides. RefSeq lists it as uncharacterized. The transcript has 2 exons. The record is from RefSeq and is a predicted model, not a curated record. Lineage: Eukaryota; Metazoa; Chordata; Actinopteri; Anguilliformes; Anguillidae.